GAGUUUGAUCAUGGCUCAGAAUGAACGCUGGCGGCGUGCUUAACACAUGCAAGUCGUGCGCGAAAGUGGCUUCGGCCAUGAGUAGAGCGGCGAACGGGUGAGUAACACGUGGGUAACCUGCCUCGAGGUGGGGGAUAACCUGGGGAAACUCGGGCUAAUACCGCAUCCUCUGUGCGGUCGCGAGACCGUUCAGCAAAGCUGGCCUCUGCUUGCAAGCUAGCGCCUCGAGAGGGGCCCGCGUCUGAUUAGCUGGUUGGUGAGGUAACGGCUCACCAAGGCGACGAUCAGUAGCCGGCCUGAGAGGGCGAUCGGCCACACUGGGACUGAGACACGGCCCAGACUCCUACGGGAGGCAGCAGUGGGGAAUAUUGGACAAUGGGCGCAAGCCUGAUCCAGCAACGCCGCGUGGAGGACGAAGGUCUUCGGAUCGUAAACUCCUGUCAGUUGGGAAGAAAGGGCGGCGAUGAACAAUCGUCGUCUCUGACGGUACCAGCAGAGGAAGCCCCGGCUAACUCCGUGCCAGCAGCCGCGGUAAUACGGAGG
This 543-nucleotide ribosomal RNA is filed under the name uncultured bacterium. RNAcentral's name for it is "bacterial SSU rRNA". It matches the Rfam family "Bacterial small subunit ribosomal RNA", at positions 9 to 531 of the family's 1533-position model. The record is from RNAcentral.